This 254-nucleotide ribosomal RNA is filed under the name uncultured bacterium. RNAcentral's name for it is "partial 16S ribosomal RNA". It matches the Rfam family "Bacterial small subunit ribosomal RNA", at positions 524 to 776 of the family's 1533-position model. The record is from RNAcentral.
UACGGGGGGAGCAAGCGUUGUUCGGAUUUACUGGGCGUAAAGGGCGCGUAGGCGGUCGUGACAAGUCACUUGUGAAAUCUCCGGGCUUAACUCGGAACGGUCAAGUGAUACUGUCGGACUAGAGUACAGAAGGGGCAACUGGAAUUCUCGGUGUAGCGGUGAAAUGCGUAGAUAUCGAGAGGAACACCUGCGGCGAAGGCGGGUAGCUGGGCCGACACUGACGCUGAGGCGCGAAAGCCAGGGGAGCGAACGGG